Molecule: ribosomal RNA, 429 nt
Filed under: uncultured bacterium
Lineage: Bacteria
Description: bacterial SSU rRNA
Rfam family: Bacterial small subunit ribosomal RNA
Source: RNAcentral
GACGAACGCUAGCGGAUGGCUAACACAUGCAAGUCGAGCGGGCAGCUUCGGCUGUCUAGCGGCGAACGGGUGCGUAACACGUGGGUAAUCUGCCUUCUGGUGGGGGAUAACCCGACGAAAGUCGGGCUAAUACCGCAUAUGGCCUACGGGUCAAAGCAGCAAUGCGCCAGUUGAUGAGCCCGCGGCCCAUUAUUUAAUCCUAGUUGGCGGGGUAACGGCCCACCAAGGGUACGAUGGGUAGCUGGUCUGAGAGGACGAUCAGCCACACUGGGACUGAGACACGGCCCAGACUCCUACGGGAGGCAGCAGUGGGGAAUAUUGCGCAAUGGGCGAAAGCCUGACGCAGCCAAUCCGCGUGGGUGAUGAAGGCCUUCGGUUGUAAGACCCUGUCGUGAGGGACGAAGGUUCUGACGGUACCGUCACAAGAAA